GUUUUAUUCAACAAACCUUUAAUGACAGAAACAAGCUUACAUUUGUUUCAAAUUACACAUCUAUGAACAAUUGCCAGCAAUUAUACAUCUUAAAGUCAUCAAUAUAGUCCCUUCUCUUCAAUCAAUAUAUAUUACACCUUAUCACCAUUGCCCACAAAGUCAUCUUCAACCACUCACUAUAUAACACAAAGUUUCCCACAUUUUCCAUUUCUAUUUUUGUUUUUCUUUUCAAACCCCCACAUGAUUAUUUAGUACUAGUUGCAAUAACAUUAACAAAUGCAGGGGCCAAUAAAGAUUUCUUUCCCCUAACUAGCCCAAAGCAUAUAUAAGAUAAAACAAUUGAUCAAGAGAAAUUCUUAUAUGAACACUUUAAUUAUAACCUUGACCAAUCAAAAACUCAAAAUACAAUUGUUUUAAUGUAUUUUUCAUUUUGCUUGAUUAAUUGGAUAUAUGUAUGUGUUCAAAUAAGAAUGAAUCGUUGAUCAAAAUAUUCAAAACUAUGUUCACUUGCAACCAUUUGGUCCAAACCCAAUCUUACCACCACCAACAUCAUAAACAACCUCUAAUGUUCUUUGUUGCACAUUUCCAAAGAUAGUAAUAUCACUAUCAUCUCCAUUUGGCGCAAACGCCAAACAAGCUUGCUUCAAACUCGCCACGUAAAGUAUCCCUGGCGCGGCUAUUUCCACCGUGACACCACCUCCGAGGAAAAAACUAAUCUUUGGAAUGGAAACAAUCUUG
Molecule: long non-coding RNA, 738 nt
Filed under: Medicago truncatula (barrel medic)
Lineage: Eukaryota; Viridiplantae; Streptophyta; Magnoliopsida; Fabales; Fabaceae
Description: lncRNA gene15331
Source: RNAcentral